Molecule: small nucleolar RNA, 124 nt
Filed under: Echinops telfairi (small Madagascar hedgehog)
Lineage: Eukaryota; Metazoa; Chordata; Mammalia; Afrosoricida; Tenrecidae
Description: Small nucleolar RNA SNORA61 (ENSETEG00000026829.1)
Source: RNAcentral
AUCCUCCAGAUUCCAUAUCCCUCAAACCUAAAUAUUGGUCUGAGUGGCUAAAAAAGAGGAGGAAAUAUAAAACUGAAAUGGACUUGGAUUCUUUAAGUGACAAACAAGUUCAUUUCAACCAAAC